UUUAAUACAGUUCAUCAAUAUAGGAAAUCAGAAGAGAGUAUUGCAAACACAAUUAAUGUAUUGGAUAUUUCAAAAUUCGUCAUGUCCUCGAUCCGUGUAUAAUUAAAAUCUCACCUGUCAGAUUUCUUUGUCCUCUUUUUCUUAUACUGUUCCCGUUAUUAUUCAUGUAUUUAUUUUCCGUUAUUAUUUAUUUAUUUAUUUAUUUAUUUAUUUUGACUUUCCUCUCUUCCUCCAUAAAUUUUUACGAUCCCCUUUUUUUUUUAUAAGAUCUUGUUUGGUUUUUCACUCUUUCUCCUGACAUUUUUUUUUGUCAUCUCUCUCUCAAAUUGCUCUCUCUCUCUGAACUCACUUUUCUCUGUGCCCCUUUUUUCUUCUUUUUCCAAAUAAAGGCCCCUUGUGAUUUUUACCUUUUUGACUUUUCUUUCUCCUCCCUAAACUCAUAUACCGUCUCCUGUCAUUUUUUCAAAUCAUCCGUCCAAUUCACUCUUUCAACUCUUCUUUUCCCUUUUUUAACUCUCUCUCUCUCUCCCCUUUUCCAACUUUUCUCUUCCUUUUAAAUUCUAUCUCUCUCUCAUUUUCACUCACUGAGCCACCCAUUCCCCUUCUAAGUUCUAACCCAAGAGACCCAAAAACUCUCAUAUAGAUAUCGACUCUCAAUUGCACCACCUCUCAUUUUUCUUUUUUCUUUUUUCUUUUGCCUAACCCUCAUCUCUUCAUCUCUCUCUCUCUCUCUCUCUCUCUAUAUAUAUAUAUAUAUAUAUAUAUUUAUUUUUUUUAUUUUUUUUUCACUUCAAGAACCUUUUACAUUAAUCGAAGAGCUCACCACGAAAAAGUGAUGGAGUAGCUUUUAUUUUUUACCAAUAUACCAAACUUGCUUAUUUCAGAAUAAGUUCAAUUCUCUCCUUCUUUUAGUUGUCAAAUACAAUGUUUUUCUUUUAAUUUGGCUUAGGAAGCAGUUUAAUUGAUAGUGUCAUUUUGAUAUAUUUUAGUCCUAUCCUCUGGUGUUGAAUGACUAAUAAGAGAGGAUGGAUCAAACUUUUUCUUUCAUAUAUAUAUUUUGCUUGUUCAUUUUUUGGUGAUGUAAAAUUUAAUUAAUAUUGUCAAAUAUUAACUUUACCAUCUUUGUUCUUAAAAAAUUAUAUUUUUUUGUCAAACAGAAAAGAAGUUUUCAUGUAACCAAGUAUUGAACUAGGAGCCUGUUUGGAUGAACUUAUUUUAACUAGCUUAUAAGCUGUUUGAGUUAAAAAAAAAAAAAGUUAGGUUGCUCAACUUAUUUUUUUUUUGGCUUAUAAACUAUUUUCAGCUUAUAAAUUGUUUUAGAUAAGCUAAAUUAAACGGGCUCAAUUAUUUUUUUGAAUUUAUUUUAAACACAAAAUGACUUUAAGCUAGUCAGUCAAACACUCAAAACAGCUUAUAAACCAAUCCAAAUGGGCUCUAGCUCGUAUUUAACAGCUCUUGAACUUCAUUUUUUAUUAUUAGAUUCUCAUCUAACAAAAAAGAUCAUUUUGUUUUCAUAUGAACUAUUCUAAAUAAAGUUAAGUGUGAUUUUGGAAUUAAUUUUUUUAUUUAAAAAAAUCAUGUAAUGCAUUUGUCUCACAUCAUAAAACAUUUUUUGUCCCUUCUGGUAUUCCCUUUAAUAACAGAUGUUUAACUCAACAUAGAAAUAACUUUAAAAAAUCUCUUCACAUUUCAAGCUUAGCUAUCUUUUCUUUAAACAAUCUGAGCAACAGUAUAAAAAUAAUGCGAGCAAGUGAGUGCGAGUUUGGUAUUGAGAAUAGAGACGGAGACGAUUGUUUCUCAUGACCAAUUAAAAAAUAACUAUCGAUUUUUGAGGCCUUCAUUUUUAAAAUACAGAGAUAUAUUAAUUUAUCAAGGAUGUUGUCCCAAAAAAAUCAUAUGUUUUAUAGUGGUUUUCUGUCGAAAGUUUGCAUUUUAUUGUAACGACCCGUUUGAUCGUUAUUGUGUUUUUACUGUUUUUUCCCCUGUUGACUCGUCCCCGAGCCUUGUUAGUAUUAUUUUGACCUGCGGGGACUGGUGGCACGGUUCCCUAGGCAUCGUUUUGGGUUUUGAAAUGACUUUUAGAAAAUCUUGAUCUUAAAGCGAAAUUGUUUGACUCGAAGUUGACUUGGGUAAACGUGCUUGUAAUCGAAUUCUGACAGUUCCAUUAGGUCCGGAGGGUGAUUUAUGACCUAGCGGUGUCAUUGGUUGGUUCCCGAAGGGUUCGCGUGCGAUUUGGGUCAUUGGUUGAGAAACUAGUUAAGUUAGAAUUGGAGUUGAUCACGGUCAACAUCGAGUCAAGGUGAUCCCGCGUCGAUGUUUUAAAAGUUCCAAUAAGUUUUUAUGAUGAUUUUGGACAUGUCCACAAAGUUUGGUUAGAUUCCGAUGAGUUUUGGAUAAGUUUGAGCUGUAUGGUGAUUAUUUUCGGUUUCGACGUCGAUUUGAGCAUAAAGGGUACCAUAUUGAGCAAAUGACCUUUGAUUCAUGUUUGGACUGAACCAUUAUAUCCGUAUCGUAAUUUUGGUACCAUAGCAACUGAAAUCAUCAAGUUUCGAUAUCGUAUGAGGGGAUUAUGGUCAUUUUACUAAGAAUUGGGUUGCCAGAUUUUUCAGAUUACUUAUGAAAUUGCCACUGAAUUCCCAACUAUUGAAACUUCCAUAUCUCCUUCAUUAUAAGGUCAAAUGGAGUGAAUCAAAAGCAAGUUUUGGGAUUGUUUGGUACUAGAAACGAGGCAAAACAAUUGGGCGUUUUUAGCUAUUAAUGUUGUUAGAGUUUCUCUCAUCUUGAAAGUUUGGGUUUGGGAAAAUUCAAGGAUGUUCUUCAAAAUUUCUUCCAUUGGAAUUUCAGGUUGGAUCUACUUUUGUUUCUCGUGGCUGAUAGUCGCUCCGAGAUUUGCUUAGAGUCCACAGGGUGAGCACGAGACGUCCGCUGCCUUGAAGAUUCUUCUUAUUUAUGUCUUAUUUUCUAUUCCUAGACAUAUUCGGACUUGAUGUUGUUACGGUUCGCUUUUACGCAGGCAAGGGAAACGAAUUCUACCCCCUACUGUAGUUGUGAUGAUCAAUUCAGCCCAGGUGAACAAGUUGAUGUUAAUGAACAUAGCUUGCUACGUUGCCAAGAGCCUCCAGAAUGUAAUUUGACGAAUUUGUCCAUUAAUGCAGGACCAAAUUCUCAAGGUAUUGGCUGCAUCAAGAUUUGAAAUUGGAUUUAAAGAUGAAAUUUGAGAUGAGUUUUGGGUUUUUAUCAUUUGGGCAUGUUUUUGCUUUUUUUUCUUUUUUUCUCCAUGGAAGAAGAUGAAGCUAGAGGGGUGGGGCGGGUCAACAAAAAAAAGGGGUAUUUUUUUUGAAAUUGGGUAAUUUGAGAGGAUUAGGGGGUUUCCAUCCAAAUAGGAGCAUAAGUGUGAAAUUUGAAGACAGCAGGGGUAUUUUUGUUAACUUUCACUAACGAAGGAUAUAUUUAACUAAUAAAACAAAGUAGAUGAGUAUAUUUGACCCUUUUCCCUUAGAAAUUCACAUAAGUGUUCAACUCACUUUAUUUCCGGAUUAGGAUACACUCGGGAUUUCUCCCGAGUAGAGUCGAUACUAUUCUAGUCCUAAUAAAAUGUGUUUAGUUCUUAUGAGUUUUA
Molecule: long non-coding RNA, 3619 nt
Organism: Lycium barbarum (goji berry)
Lineage: Eukaryota; Viridiplantae; Streptophyta; Magnoliopsida; Solanales; Solanaceae
Exons: 3
Source: RefSeq, a predicted model, not a curated record